UUCUCUCUCUUUUGUUCUUUUUUCCUCUUUUCUUCUCCAUGCGAUGCAUGCUCAUCUUUGCCUUCUGCUAUGAGUGGAAUCUUCUUGAGACUCUCACCAGAAGUAGGUGCUGACACCAUACUUCUUGUACAGCUUGAAGACCUGUGAACCAAGAAAAAGAUUUUUUAAGGCUAUCAUUCACAAAGUAAAGAGACUUGGAAAGGAGAAAACAGCAACAGUGUUCUGGGAGCUGGAAAGUGGAAGAAUGAAGGGCUGCUGACCUAGCAAAACACCGAGAGCUGAAUUUUAAAUUGGCCUUGG
RNAcentral lists this long non-coding RNA (300 nucleotides) under Homo sapiens (human). RNAcentral's name for it is "HSALNT0088187". Lineage: Eukaryota; Metazoa; Chordata; Mammalia; Primates; Hominidae. The record is from RNAcentral.